AGCCAGGAAGCCAGGAAACUCCUCUCUGCAAGACAGCAGAAUGGACACCAGCCUGCUAAGCCUCCAUUCUUCAACGAGCAUCACCUGCAAGACAAAAGACAGAGAUACCACACAGUCUCCACAAAAUAGGUAAGUGAGGAUUAAUUAAGAUGGCUCCUAAUCUAAAUAGGCCACUAUAUAUACUCUUCUAGCAUAAACCCAACCUCCUGUUAUACUAGCCAGUCCUCCCUGCUCCCCAACUACACCCCUCCUAUGCCUGUCUCCUAGGAAUAUCAAGGCCCAUUCCUGUUAGCUGCGCUGCUUCAUGGGCUACGAUCCAUGUGUGGUAUUCCUGCAUCUCUGUCUCCAUUGCCUUGUCUUAUAAAAGCAAAGGCACAUACGUAUACACUUUAUGGGUAGGGAAGUAGUUAAGCGCAUCAAAUAGCUUUCAUUUUUGUCUCCAAACCAGCCAUAUAAAAG
Pelobates cultripes (western spadefoot toad) is the source of this 459-nucleotide non-coding RNA. NCBI's taxonomy places the organism in Eukaryota, Metazoa, Chordata, Amphibia, Anura, Pelobatidae. The record is from the annotation of a GenBank genome assembly.